Molecule: signal recognition particle RNA, 269 nt
Filed under: bacterium
Lineage: Bacteria
Description: signal recognition particle sRNA large type
Rfam family: Bacterial large signal recognition particle RNA
About the family: The signal recognition particle (SRP) is a universally conserved ribonucleoprotein involved in the co-translational targeting of proteins to membranes. Archaeal SRP consists of a 7S RNA and homologues of the eukaryotic SRP19 and SRP54 proteins.
Source: RNAcentral
CCGUGCUAGGCGGGGAGGUAGCGGUGCCCUGUCACCUGCAAUCCGCUAUAGCGGGGCUGAAUCCCUCGUGAGCGGCUGGGCUCUUCUUCAAGGCCUGCCUCACGUGCAGUGGCGUUGAGAGUUGGGUCCAACGCAACAAGGACUCACGAACCCCGCCAGGUCCGGAGGGAAGCAACGGUAAGUGAGAUCCCUUGUGUGCCGUUGGGGCGCCUGGCUUGAGCCACGGCGUGGGUUCCGCUUGGGGAAGGGGGUCAAUCCGAGGUGCACGG